This 494-nucleotide ribosomal RNA is filed under the name uncultured bacterium. Its description in RNAcentral is "partial 16S ribosomal RNA". It matches the Rfam family "Bacterial small subunit ribosomal RNA", at positions 28 to 507 of the family's 1533-position model. The record is from RNAcentral.
GACGAACGCUGGCGGCGUGCUUAACACAUGCAAGUCGAACGGUGAAGCGCCUUCCUUUUUGGUGGGUGUGGAUGAGUGGCGAACGGGUGAGUAACACGUGAGUAACCUGCCCCCUUCUUCUGGAUAACCGCAUGAAAGUGUGGCUAAUACGGGAUAUUCUGGGUCUGUCGCAUGAUGGGUCUGGGAAAGAUAUUGUUUCGGUGGGGGAUGGGCUCGCGGCCUAUCAGCUUGUUGGUGGGGUGAUAGCCUACCAAGGCGGUGACGGGUAGCCGGCCUGAGAGGGUGGACGGUCACACUGGGACUGAGACACGGCCCAGACUCCUACGGGAGGCAGCAGUGGGGAAUAUUGCACAAUGGGCGCAAGCCUGAUGCAGCGACGCCGCGGGAGGGAUGGAGGCCUUCGGGUUGUGAACCUCUUUCGCCAGUGAAGCAGGCCUGCCUCGUUUGUGGGUGGGUUGACGGUAGCUGGAUAAGAAGCGCCGGCUAACUACGUG